GACGAACGCUGGCGGCGUGCUUAACACAUGCAAGUCGAGCGGUAAGGCCCUUUCGGGGGUACGACGAGCGGCGAACGGGUGAGUAACACGUGGGUGACCUGCCCUCAGCUCUGGGAUAAGCCUGGGAAACUGGGUCUAAUACCGGAUAUGACUCCAUGACGCAUGUUGUGGGGUGGAAAGCCUUGUGCGGCUGAGGAUGGGCCCGCGGCCUAUCAGCUUGUUGGUGGGGUGAGGCCUACCAAGGCGACGACGGGUAGCCGGCCUGAGAGGGCGACCGGCCACACUGGGACUGAGACACGGCCCAGACUCCUACGGGAGGCAGCAGUGGGGAAUCUUGCGCAAUGGGCGAAAGCCUGACGCAGCGACGCCGCGUGAGGGAUGACGGCC
Molecule: ribosomal RNA, 387 nt
Filed under: uncultured bacterium
Lineage: Bacteria
Description: bacterial SSU rRNA
Rfam family: Bacterial small subunit ribosomal RNA
Source: RNAcentral